RNAcentral lists this ribosomal RNA (253 nucleotides) under uncultured bacterium. Its description in RNAcentral is "partial 16S ribosomal RNA". It matches the Rfam family "Bacterial small subunit ribosomal RNA", at positions 524 to 776 of the family's 1533-position model. The record is from RNAcentral.
UACGAAGGGGGCUAGCGUUGCUCGGAAUCACUGGGCGUAAAGCGCACGUAGGCGGCUUUCUAAGUCAGGGGUGAAAUCCUGGAGCUCAACUCCAGAACUGCCUUUGAUACUGGAGAGCUUGAGUCCGGGAGAGGUGAGCGGAACUCCGAGUGUAGAGGUGAAAUUCGUAGAUAUUCGGAAGAACACCAGUGGCGAAGGCGGCUCACUGGCCCGGUACUGACGCUGAUGUGCGAAAGCGUGGGGAGCAAACAGG